Molecule: ribosomal RNA, 253 nt
Filed under: uncultured bacterium
Lineage: Bacteria
Description: partial 16S ribosomal RNA
Rfam family: Bacterial small subunit ribosomal RNA
Source: RNAcentral
UACGAAGGGGGCUAGCGUUGCUCGGAAUCACUGGGCGUAAAGGGCGCGUAGGCGGCGCGGGCAGUCAACGGUGAAAGCUCGGGGCUCAACUCCGAGUCGGCCGUCGAUACUCCCGUGCUCGAGCACUGUAGAGGCAGGUGGAAUUCCGGGUGUAGCGGUGGAAUGCGUAGAGAUCCGGAAGAACACCGGUGGCGAAGGCGGCCUGCUGGGCAGUAGCUGACGCUGAGGCGCGACAGCGUGGGGAGCAAACAGG